CAGAGGCAAUGGAGUCUCUAACGACCAGCAACACUUUCCUCGAAUUAGUCCCAUUUCCGAUUUCCUUCCUGUCAAUUAAACCGAUUGCCAGAGAGAUCAGAGAAGAGCAAACCCUUCGUGAGUUCUUCCCAAUUCCUUCCCAUUAUUUACAUGUUUUUUCCCCCAAUUCCUUCCCCCAAAUCACCAUUCAUUCACCCAUUAUUUACAUGUUUUUUUCCUGGCAUAUUUAUUGUUUAAUUAUUGUUUUUUUUUGAGUAGUUUAUUAUGCUCUAUGUUUGAUUUUUAGGAUUUUGAAUUGCUUCGGCUUCGAUUCGAGGCUUAUUGUUUGGGGAUUUUGUUACAAAUUAUUGAAAGUUUUGUAAUGCCAAAGUGAUCCGGUGCUUAUUAUCAACUCAAAUGACUUUUGAAGCCUUAAAGUGAGUUUCAAUUGAAGAUGAAAGUAGAUCAAAGUUUAAUUAUCUAUUUUAUUUCUACGUUCUUUAUUACUUUUGGAGCAGAAGUUUUGAAAAAUCUGGUUAACUUAGCCUAAUCGAGUGUUGUUUCUGGCAUAAGAGCAUAUCUUAUUACAUGCCACUAGGUCAAACAUUUGAAAAGUACUUGUGAGCCAGUGAAAAGGAGAACAUGUUAAGAUGGAAAAUCUUUUUGCAUGAUAGUAUGAACUUAAACUUCUUGAAUUUGGCAGUGGAAUGAAUACAUGUUAUUUAUUAUAAGAGUAUAUCUAUUUAAUGUGUCUUUGAGGAUUUUUAUCAAAAUGGGGUGGUCAAUGCUGCAACUAAUUCUACUUGCUUGACUUUUUUUCUUUGUAUGUCUAUCAUUUGAUUCAUUUCUUUCGAAUGAGUUUCGAUGGUUGAUCAUAUCUUGACUUUCUAAUUCAAAUUUCACGUGUAAAUCUCUAGCAUCUUAAAAUGUUAAAUGGGCUAGCCUUAAAUGGCUUUUCAACGAUUGGCCGCCGACCGAAUCGGGCUUUUAAGAUCGUUGAUUGUCGACGGUCAAUGGUCAAAGUCAACAUCCGCCCUAACUGAACAUUGAUACUAGAUUCGCCCCUGAUUGUAUCCUUCAAAACUUGUAAUAUAAGUGCAUAAUUAGCACCCACUAUUAGAUACGACUUGUAUGAUUUAAAAGCAUAAUUAACAAUAAUCUAACUUCAUUUUCUCUAAACUACCAUCAACAUGCCAAAAUGUGUCCAACCUAAUAAACGCUACUGGUGGUGAUAGCCAUAUAACCACAGAUAAUUCUUAUUGGUUUUGCAGCCUUCACCUUCCAAAUCCAAAAAAAAAAAGGAGUUAAAAAUGCAGCAAUACUUUAAUUGCAGUAAAAGAGUUUGUUUCUCCCAUGCAAUGAAAGACUCCAAUUCCAGGAAGUUCUAACUAAUCAGGAGGGAGAGAGGCUACAUCUUUCUCUUUUUGCCACACACAAUAAAACGUCUUUUCCCAAUAAAUUUGGACAAUUAACCUUCCUCUUGUGCCAUAAUUGAUCAAAUUUGAAACAGAUUAUCAUAAGCAAAUUAAUGUUACAUAUGUUUGCGGUCAUUUAACAUUACAAUUUGAUGCAGUCAUAUGAUGAAUGUAAUUAUCGAAAAAUAACUCUCCUUCUGCAUCAUUCAUGAUAUUCUUUUUGGUCUUCAUCGUAUUUUACCAAAGUAAAAUUUAAUCAAUGCCAUUCACGGGCAAGAUUGUCUUGAUCUUCUAGUGAAGAUAACUGCUAGAAUUGGGUUUCUAGUUGCCCAAAAUCAUUUUGCAGAGGCAAUCCAGAAUUAGCUUAUUUGUUGUCUUAAUCUUUCCGGGGACACAACAACCUUAAGUUAUCUCAAAUGUUAUUUCAUUCAUCGAAUUGUAUAGUUGUUAGUUGCAUAAUGACAAUCCUCAUGUUGUUUAAUCAUUCAAUAGUAAUAUUAUAGAACUCAUGCCGUCUCUCUUAAAUUUUGAAGUAAUAUUUAUAUUCCACAUUAAAUAGAUUAUAUGGAAGUUCAAGGAGACCUCCAAACUACCAUUACAUUUUCAGUUGAUUAAUUCUCACUGCACUAUGGAAAAUCGAGGCUCAACACUUGCAUUUUACGGUACUAGUAGUAUAAAGACAUGCAAAACAGAUCCUAAGCAAUAACAAAGAGCGGUUAAGAGCUCCUCUAGCUGACGAUGCAUAACACAGGUCUUUGGGAACUUAAAGAAGAAUUUGUCGCAGAAUAUAUCUAACUAAGCAUUUUAGCUCUGGAGGCCCACAACUAGAGGAACGAUACAAGUAUCCACCGACAAAUCAUGUAUGGGAUCUUUGCGUACCAAAUGACCAAGUGAAUGGUAAGUCAAGAAAGCCGCACGAAGGGUGCCAUCAGGUAUUCUAUAAAUGGGACACCAUGCCACUGAGUACCUGAAAGUAGACUGUCAAUGCUCAAAACCAAUAUAUGUUCAUAUCAAACUAACUUUACAAGGUUGUAUAACUUUAUUAUUUUGGAUUAGUCUCUACAUUUACUGACCACGAACUUUAGAGAAGAUCCUGUAGACUUACCCGCUCUAGAACAGUGGGAUCUCCAUGUGCUCUGCAUUUCGAACGUCCUUCACCUCGAACAAGCUCCUUUAUCCUGAAACACAGGAAUCGGGAAAAGAAUUAAUUCCAUUCAUUGUUUGUGAAACUAGUUUUCUGUAUGUUGACCGUAGAUCGCUGAAUUUUUUAGAAGUACCGAUCCGUUUAAGCCCCACAGAUCUCUAAAGACUUCAAAAAUGCUCAUAGACUGAUCAUUCUGCCUCAUUUUCCGAGGUACAAAUGCAAACGUAACACGGAUACGUAAGUCAUCUAAUUGAAUAGCUCUGUCAAGGAAAUGCAACUGUGUGCUCAUGCAGUUCUCUACUGGUUAAAUCAGUGAAUGCCAGCCAUAGCAACGUAUUUACACGUGUAGAUUUUGG
RNAcentral lists this long non-coding RNA (2894 nucleotides) under Olea europaea subsp. europaea. The record is from RNAcentral. Lineage: Eukaryota; Viridiplantae; Streptophyta; Magnoliopsida; Lamiales; Oleaceae.